This 242-nucleotide ribosomal RNA is filed under the name uncultured bacterium. RNAcentral describes it as "partial 16S ribosomal RNA". It matches the Rfam family "Bacterial small subunit ribosomal RNA", at positions 113 to 354 of the family's 1533-position model. The record is from RNAcentral.
CGACGUGAGUAACCUGCCCUGGAGUGGGGAAUAACAGCUGGAAACAGCUGCUAAUACCGCAUAAUGCAGUUGGGUCGCAUGGCUCUGACUGCCAAAGAUUUAUCGCUCUGGGAUGGACUCGCGUCUGAUUAGCUAGUUGGUGGGGUAACGGCCCACCAAGGCGACGAUCAGUAGCCGGACUGAGAGGUUGGCCGGCCACAUUGGGACUGAGACACGGCCCAGACUCCUACGGGAGGCAGCAG